RNAcentral lists this ribosomal RNA (1483 nucleotides) under Klebsiella pneumoniae. RNAcentral's name for it is "partial 23S ribosomal RNA". It matches the Rfam family "Bacterial large subunit ribosomal RNA", at positions 1 to 1531 of the family's 2925-position model. Lineage: Bacteria; Pseudomonadati; Pseudomonadota; Gammaproteobacteria; Enterobacterales; Enterobacteriaceae. The record is from RNAcentral.
GGUUAAGCGACUAAGCGUACACGGUGGAUGCCCUGGCAGUCAGAGGCGAUGAAGGACGUGCUAAUCUGCGAAAAGCGUCGGUAAGGUGAUAUGAACCGUUAUAACCGGCGAUGUCCGAAUGGGGAAACCCAGUGCAAUUCGUUGCACUAUCGUUAACUGAAUACAUAGGUUAACGAGGCGAACCGGGGGAACUGAAACAUCUAAGUACCCCGAGGAAAAGAAAUCAACCGAGAUUCCCCCAGUAGCGGCGAGCGAACGGGGAGCAGCCCAGAGUCUGAAUCAGCUUGUGUGUUAGUGGAACGGUCUGGAAAGUCCGACGGUACAGGGUGAUAGUCCCGUACACCAAAAUGCACAGGCUGUGAACUCGAAGAGUAGGGCGGGACACGUGGUAUCCUGUCUGAAUAUGGGGGGACCAUCCUCCAAGGCUAAAUACUCCUGACUGACCGAUAGUGAACCAGUACCGUGAGGGAAAGGCGAAAAGAACCCCGGCGAGGGGAGUGAAAAAGAACCUGAAACCGUGUACGUACAAGCAGUGGGAGCACCUUCGGGUGUGACUGCGUACCUUUUGUAUAAUGGGUCAGCGACUUAUAUUCUGUAGCAAGGUUAACCGUAUAGGGGAGCCGCAGGGAAACCGAGUCUUAACUGGGCGUUAAGUUGCAGGGUAUAGACCCGAAACCCGGUGAUCUAGCCAUGGGCAGGUUGAAGGUUGGGUAACACUAACUGGAGGACCGAACCGACUAAUGUUGAAAAAUUAGCGGAUGACUUGUGGCUGGGGGUGAAAGGCCAAUCAAACCGGGAGAUAGCUGGUUCUCCCCGAAAGCUAUUUAGGUAGCGCCUCGUGAACUCAUCUUCGGGGGUAGAGCACUGUUUCGGCUAGGGGGUCAUCCCGACUUACCAACCCGAUGCAAACUACGAAUACCGAAGAAUGUUAUCACGGGAGACACACGGCGGGUGCUAACGUCCGUCGUGAAGAGGGAAACAACCCAGACCGCCAGCUAAGGUCCCAAAGUCAUGGUUAAGUGGGAAACGAUGUGGGAAGGCACAGACAGCCAGGAUGUUGGCUUAGAAGCAGCCAUCAUUUAAAGAAAGCGUAAUAGCUCACUGGUCGAGUCGGCCUGCGCGGAAGAUGUAACGGGGCUAAACCAUGCACCGAAGCUGCGGCAGCGACACUAUGUGUUGUUGGGUAGGGGAGCGUUCUGUAAGCCUGCGAAGGUGUGCUGUGAGGCAUGCUGGAGGUAUCAGAAGUGCGAAUGCUGACAUAAGUAACGAUAAAGCGGGUGAAAAGCCCGCUCGCCGGAAGACCAAGGGUUCCUGUCCAACGUUAAUCGGGGCAGGGUGAGUCGACCCCUAAGGCGAGGCCGAAAGGCGUAGUCGAUGGGAAACAGGUUAAUAUUCCUGUACUUGGUGUUACUGCGAAGGGGGGACGGAGAAGGCUAUGUUAGCCGGGCGACGGUUGUCCCGGUUUAAGCAUGUAGGCUGGUUG